GCUACGGUGGCCCAGUAGUUAGAGCGUCCGCCUCGGAUGCGGAAGGUCGUGGGUUCGAUCCCAGACGAUUCAUACCA
Non-coding RNA from Potamilus streckersoni, 77 nucleotides. The record is from the annotation of a GenBank genome assembly. NCBI's taxonomy places the organism in Eukaryota, Metazoa, Mollusca, Bivalvia, Unionida, Unionidae.